RNAcentral lists this ribosomal RNA (674 nucleotides) under uncultured Actinomycetales bacterium. Its description in RNAcentral is "bacterial SSU rRNA". It matches the Rfam family "Bacterial small subunit ribosomal RNA", at positions 72 to 760 of the family's 1533-position model. Lineage: Bacteria; Bacillati; Actinomycetota; Actinomycetes; Actinomycetales. The record is from RNAcentral.
GGCCCUGCUUGCAGGGUACUCGAGUGGCGAACGGGUGAGUAACACGUGGGUGAUCUGCCCUGCACUUCGGGAUAAGCUUGGGAAACUGGGUCUAAUACCGGAUAGGAACCAUCUUUANUGUGGUGGUUGGAAAGUUUUUUCGGUGUAGGAUGAGCUCGCGGCCUAUCAGCUUGUUGGUGGGGUAAUGGCCUACCAAGGCGGCGACGGGUAGCCGGCCUGAGAGGGUGUACGGCCACAUUGGGACUGAGAUACGGCCCAGACUCCUACGGGAGGCAGCAGUGGGGAAUAUUGCACAAUGGGCGCAAGCCUGAUGCAGCGACGCCGCGUGGGGGAUGAAGGCCUUCGGGUUGUAAACUCCUUUCGCUAGGGACGAAGCUUUUCGUGGCGGUACCUAGAUAAGAAGCACCGGCUAACUACGUGCCAGCAGCCGCGGUAAUACGUAGGGUGCGAGCGUUGUCCGGAAUUACUGGGCGUAAAGGGCUCGUAGGUGGUUUGUCGCGUCGUCUGUGAAAUUCUGGGGCUUAACUCCGGCGCGUGCAGGCGAUACGGGCAUAACUUGAGUGCUGUAGGGGUAACUGGAAUUCCUGGUGUAGCGGUGAAAUGCGCAGAUAUCAGGAGGACACCGAUGGCGAAGGCAGGUUACUGGGCAGUUACUGACGCUGAGGAGCGAAAGC